Molecule: transfer RNA, 70 nt
Filed under: Dreissena polymorpha
Lineage: Eukaryota; Metazoa; Mollusca; Bivalvia; Myida; Dreissenidae
Rfam family: tRNA
About the family: Transfer RNA (tRNA) molecules are approximately 80 nucleotides in length. Their secondary structure includes four short double-helical elements and three loops (D, anti-codon, and T loops).
Source: Rfam by way of RNAcentral
GCCUUAGGUCAGUCGGUAGAGCACGAGACUCUUAAUAUCGGGGUCGUGGGUUCGAGCCCCACGUCGGGCG